Long non-coding RNA from Herpailurus yagouaroundi (jaguarundi), 424 nucleotides. RefSeq lists it as uncharacterized. The record is from RefSeq and is a predicted model, not a curated record. Lineage: Eukaryota; Metazoa; Chordata; Mammalia; Carnivora; Felidae. The transcript has 3 exons.
CAGCAAACCUAAAAGACAAUCCCCAGGCCCUGCUGAGCUCAUGUGUUAUCCUGGCUGUGACGAUGCAGUCCUCAGGGGCUCUCUGACUCAACUCACGAUGUCUGUCCUGAGAACGGUCCUUAUCACCUCUCACUCAGAUGGUGGCAAGAGCCUUCUGGCCACUUCACCAUGGAGGCGGUGAACUGCAUGGGAACAGCACAGGCCUUAAAGUCAGAAAACCCACAAUUCGAUUCCUGUCUUCGCCUUGUACUAGUGGUGCAAGCUCUGUGGGCUUCCCUCUCCUCCCCUCCACUCACCCCAUGGGGAGUUGGUGAGGACUCACCAAGGGCUUUGUACUACAGUAUUGGGCACUCGCAUGGCUUUUCACAUGCAGACGUGUUCACGUCUGUUCUCUUCCCUCGGAUAUGGUCACCUCUGAAUCUCA